UACGUAGGGGGCAAGCGUUGUCCGGAUUUAUUGGGCGUAAAGAGCGUGUAGGCGGCUAGGUAGGUCGGUUGUGAAAAUUGGAGGCUCAACCUCCAGACGUCGAUCGAAACCAUCUGGCUAGAGUCCGGAAGAGGAGAAUGGAAUUCCUGGUGUAGCGGUGAAAUGCGCAGAUAUCAGGAAGAACACCAAUAGCGAAGGCAGCUCGCUGGGACGGUACUGACGCUAAGGCGCGAAAGCGUGGGGAGCGAACAGG
RNAcentral lists this ribosomal RNA (253 nucleotides) under uncultured bacterium. RNAcentral's name for it is "partial 16S ribosomal RNA". It matches the Rfam family "Bacterial small subunit ribosomal RNA", at positions 524 to 776 of the family's 1533-position model. The record is from RNAcentral.